UACGGAGGAGGCAAGCGUUAUCCGGAAUUAUUGGGCGUAAAGCGUCCGCAGGUGGCACUUCAAGUCUGUCGUCAAAGACUGGGGCUUAACCCUGGAAAGGCGGUGGAAACUGAAGCGCUAGAGUGCGGUAGGGGUAGAGGGAAUUCCCGGUGUAGCGGUGAAAUGCGCAGAUAUCGGGAAGAACACCCGUGGCGAAGGCGGCUCUCUGGGACGGUACUGACGCUGAGACGCGAAAGCGUGGGGAGCGAACAGG
This 253-nucleotide ribosomal RNA is filed under the name uncultured bacterium. Its description in RNAcentral is "partial 16S ribosomal RNA". It matches the Rfam family "Bacterial small subunit ribosomal RNA", at positions 524 to 776 of the family's 1533-position model. The record is from RNAcentral.